ACGAACGCUGGCGGCAGGCCUAACACAUGCAAGUCGAGCGCGAGAUUUCUUUCGGGAAAUUGAAAGCGGCGAACGGGUGAGUAAUGCAUGGGAACGUGCCCUGUGGUGGGGAACAACCGUUGGAAACGACGGCUAAUACCGCAUAAGCCCUUCGGGGGAAAGCUUUAUGCGCCAUAGGAGCGGCCCAUGUUGGAUUAGGUAGUUGGUGGGGUAAAGGCCUACCAAGCCUACGAUCCAUAGCUGGUCUGAGAGGAUGAUCAGCCACACUGGAACUGAGAUACGGUCCAGACUCCUACGGGAGGCAGCAGUGGGGAAUAUUGCGCAAUGGGGGAAACCCUGACGCAGCCAUGCCGCGUGAGUGAAGAAGGCCUUCGGGUUGUAAAACUCUUUCGCCUGUGAAGAUGAUGACUGUAACAGGAGAAGAAGCUCCGGCUAACUUCGU
RNAcentral lists this ribosomal RNA (442 nucleotides) under uncultured bacterium. Its description in RNAcentral is "bacterial SSU rRNA". It matches the Rfam family "Bacterial small subunit ribosomal RNA", at positions 29 to 506 of the family's 1533-position model. The record is from RNAcentral.